Molecule: ribosomal RNA, 373 nt
Filed under: uncultured bacterium
Lineage: Bacteria
Description: bacterial SSU rRNA
Rfam family: Bacterial small subunit ribosomal RNA
Source: RNAcentral
AAGACGAAGGAUGCGAGCGUUAUCCGGAUUCACUGGGUUUAAAGGGUGCGUAGGCGGGGCUGUAAGUCACAGGUUAAAGACCGGUGCUUAACAUCGGGAGUGCCUGUGAUACUGCGGUUCUUGAGAGAGUCAGAAGUUGCUGGAAUAUGGCAAGUAGAGGUGAAAUUCAUAGAUAUGCCAUAGAACACCGAAAGCGAAGGCAGGCAACUAUGACUGGUCUGACGCUGAGGCACGAAAGCGUGGGGAGCAAACAGGAUUAGAUACCCUGGUAGUCCACGCUGUAAACGAUGAUGACUUGUUGUUUGGGGCGAAAGCUCUGAGUGACAAAGCGAAAGCGAUAAGUCAUCCACCUGGGGAGUACGCCGGCAACGGU